Molecule: ribosomal RNA, 316 nt
Filed under: uncultured bacterium
Lineage: Bacteria
Description: bacterial SSU rRNA
Rfam family: Bacterial small subunit ribosomal RNA
Source: RNAcentral
AAUCAACGCUGGCGGCGUGCCUCAGACAUGCAAGUCGAACGCGAAAUCCCGAGCAAUUCGGGAGAGUAGAGUGGCGCACGGGUGAGUAACACGUAGGUAAUCUACCUUCGGAUGGGGAAUAACAACCGGAAACGGUUGCUAAUACCGCAUAAUGCAGCGGCACCUAAUGGUGACAGUUGUUAAAGGCGGGGGAUCGAAAGACCUCGCGUCUGAAGAGGAGCCUGCGGCGGAUUAGCUAGUUGGUAAGGUAAUGGCUUACCAAGGCAACGAUCCGUAACCGGCUGAGAGGGCGGUCGGUCACACUGACACUGACAUA